UGGAACCGCGUCCACCCGCACCGACUCCUUCCCGGAAACCCAUCGCUGCCACCGGCUCCACGGCCUCUAUAAAAUACCACCGGAGCCUUCCUCGUAUCGGAGGAUUUGAUUGACGUCUCUUCUCUUCUCUUCCCCCUCUCGUCGGGUAAGUCGCAGGUAUGGCCAUGGGGUAAUCGGUUCAGAUCUCGCGCUCCUUGUUUCGCUGUUCGUCGUUUGAUUGUAAUUCCAGGCGAGCGUUUCUGUCUGGGUUGUGGUGCUCCUUACGUUGAUUUCGAUCGAGGCGUAGUUCCGGUGAUUUGUCCUCCUCCGUUCCGGUGAUGUUGGUAUCGUCUUCUGAACCUCGCUGCUUUGGUUUAGGUCGCAGCUAAUCUAUUUUGCUUUGACUUCUGAUCUGAUUUAGGGUCGUGGCUAAUCCAUCAUGCUGAUUGCGAUAUGAUUUAGGGUCGUGGCUUAUCCAUUUUUAUCCUAAUUGCUGAUUUGAUUCAAGGCUGUCACGAUUAAUGGAGAUUAUUUUUGGCGAGAGCAACCAGUUGUGUUAGUUUAAUGGAGAUUAUUUAAACGUGGAGCAGUUUAUUUGCUUUCAUCUCUGUUCGUUACGGUGGAUUGGUCUUGGUCGGUUUAGUUGAUUCCUUGGAGAUGUUUGACAUGAUCGGAAUAAGAGAUUGAAGGUUGAGUGGUUUGGAUUGGUCUGUUCCAUUGGUGAUUCAAUAAUGUUCUGCGUACAGUGCUUUAUCUUUUUGCGGUGAAAAACAGUGAUUUGGGAGACAGUCCAGACAGUCAAAUUUCUGCAGUUUUUCUGCUUUUGAUCCCGUUCUUUCAUGACUUAGUCAGAUUCAAUAAGAGUUAGAGGAAAAAGGUUUGCUAUGCCUAUCCGGAUAUAUUUGCUUUCGCCUAGCAGCCUAUGCAUGUCAGACCAUAUCAAAGGGAUUUUGCUAUGUUGUGUGCCGUGUUAUAAAUGUAGAGCUGGGAUAUGUAUUUCUUGAACUGUGUGGACAUGCUCAUGGUGGAGAUUCUUCAGUGGCUAUAUUUAGGUGUCACCUUUUGAUUGGUUUCAUUUCAAGAUCUAAGUCAUUUCAAGAUCCCUAAGAAUAUUGGAGGUGCUUGUUUUGUUUACGUGCUAGAUGUAACUUUCUUGGGAAGUACCUUCAAAGAACAUGGAAGUUUGCUUUUGAAGUAACUUGUUCGAAGUUUCAAGUACAUUGAAGAAAGCUGCUGAACUAGUUUACUGCCUGCUGUGUUUUUCUCGGGUGGCACAUCAAGGUCUAUUCAGAUGCUGAUUACUGUGUUGGAAUCUACCAAUCAUUCUGAUCUCUAGUUUGUGAUUUUGAUUUUCUACAUGGAUAUUCGGUUGGGCUUCCGCUGGUUUACAUGCUCCAUCCAGUGUUGGAUUAGUCUUUGCUUGUUAUUAGCAUUCUUACUGUAAUUUAUAGUCAUGUUUUCUUCAUGCAAUUUAUGUUUAUGUUGUACACAAUCAUCAAUUAUGCAUCCUGUAUGAUGUUAUUGGUGUAAUUAUUGAAUGAUAUAUGGGUGAGCCCUUCAUCGUCGUUUGGUUGGGUGCAUAAAAGCUGUAAUAAAUAGCAACUGAAUUUCAUAGCUUGAUGUGUUUCUUUGUUGACAUUAAUACAUUUGUGUUCAUUCCCCUAAUCUCAAGAUAACAAUUAUCACUUUUUGAGCUGUCAUUUUGAACUUCCACAGUGGUUUUCAUUCCUGUGUUCGAUCACUUAAACUGAUAAGUAUGGUGCUUGUAUUCUUUUUAGGUGCUGUCUUUAGUCGUGCACAAGAUCCCUUUUAAUGAUGACAUUAGUUGCUUGUAUUUAAUCUUGAUUCUGCAUCAUUCACGAGUGCCACAUUCUAUAGCUAUUUUAUGUAGUUUGGUAUUAUGCUUCAAGUAUAUUCGAGUCUUCUAUGUUUGCAUUAUUUACAGUCUGCUUUUACUCUUGGAGUUUCCUCACUGUUCAGUGUGAAUUAUUUGAUUUGUAACGAUUUCACAUAGUAUUCGAAGGCAAAUAUUGUGUGAUAAGUGUGAAUUAUGAUUUCAUAUUUGUUCUAAGCUUAUGUUGUUUACAAUUUAUUUCCAACCUGUCAGUGAAUUAUGAUUUUAGUUCAUGUGCUUAGGUCUACCAAUGUUUUUAGAACUCAGCCAAUAACUAUCAACAGUUUUAAGUCACAAUCUACCUUAAUUAUAAGCACAUGGCACAUACCGUUAACUUUCCCCCUUAUUUGGUUGAGAUUAUAAGCAUGACACAAUACUGUUUUUGCUUUGGUUCUACUUUCCCCCACUUAUUGGUUGAGAUGAUAAGCAUGUCAUGCACAAUGAUUAGAACAUUUUAAUCUGUUUUGAGCUUACUUGAAAAUUUUAUUUGUCCCUGAUACGUUGUGCUGUCAUUUUUAUCUCUUCAAUAGAAGGUCACGAUUAGAAAGGUGAAGGGAGGCCUGUAGUUGUUGCAUAAGUAUAUGGAUGCGGGCUUCUGUUUGUAUACUAGUUCUCAUCAAUUUAUAAACUAACCGAGUCAUAUCCUCUUGACCAGUUAUAUUUGUCGUGCUUGCUUAACCACUCUUAAAUUUCUUGGGUACAGUCUGCAUAGUCUAAUUUUGACACAUCUUCUUGUAAUGUCAAUAAUGUAUGUGUUGUUUCAGUGUUCCAAUUCCCACAAUCAUUUCCUUUUGCUUGGCAUAGAACCAUGGUUCUAUCUGAUGAAAUUAUUUAUGCAAGACUCUUGCUUCUGUCCACUGUUCACAUGAAUUUUUUAUGGUUAAUGUCAAUGUUAAAGUGAUGUUACGAGCUGAGUAGGUGUUAGUACGUUCUAUGCUGGUAUUGUUUAGUUACCUUGAAAUACAUUUUAUCUGUGUGGUGGUCGCAAGCUUAGUUUUAAUUCUCAACCUUGGUGGUCAUAUAUAAGUCGGUAGCUUCGGAUGUGUUCCUAGUUUCCUAUAAGCUCGUUCUUCUAUUCGGAACCUGAUGCUAUCCUUGUGCUACAUGUAUGUCUAAAAAUUUCCCUCUGAAUAUUCCUGCCUUCCUUUUCUGCUUGGAAAUUUUAUUGCAAGCUUUGUUAACAAUAAAUGUUUGGUCAGUCUUGGUAUGCCCCUACUUGUUGUUCUGUUUUGGUCUGAGUUUUAGCUUUGUUUCCAAUCCAUGUUGCACCGCUUUAAGAUAUAUUAGUCUCGAUGCAAUGUGUCUAUAUAUCAUUAUUAAUGAACUCAAAUACCUAUUCAUUGCCCAAGCGUGGAGAAGGCUAGUGUGUACUCUGUUUAUCUUAUGUUUGCACGUUUUAUUGAUGUGAAGUUCAGACAUAUUUACCUAGAUGUACAAGUUUGUAUAGUUUAGUUCGCUAUGUUGUUCUGUGCUUUUCAGUGUUCUUUUUUCUCCUAAUUCUACCUGUCAUCUUUAUGCUGAAAAAUGUGAAUGCCAAAAUUGACUCGUAACAAGGUUUUUUUCAGAUAGCGUGUACUCAUUUCCGGCUGCAUUUUGAAUGACAAUAUAAUAUAGUAUAAAUUCAUUUAACUAAAUUCAAGAGCAAGUUAUAUAAUUAAUCCUUAAGAUAUUUUGACUUAAGUAUAUAUGUAUUUUAUACUGUGACUUAAUAUAGUAUAUGUUAGAGCCCGCCUAAAGUUUUUACCUCAUGUUUUAUUGCAUGUUUUUUCUUUUCCUUGAUGGGUCACUUCAUUUCCUUGAUGUUUUUUCUUCCAACUGUUUCACUGUCGGUUUUGCUACAGAAAAUACAGAAUAUCUUUAUGUGACUCUAGGUUUAUAUAUAUAAUAAAUUUCUUUACCAACUUACUCAAAUUGUGUGAAAUUUGAUCUUAACUCUAAUUGAUAAUAACUUGGCUUGGUAGCUUUCAUUGGAUUUUUUGUCUCCAGCAUAUAAUUGAAGAAGUAAUUUAAUAGAUGAAUCUGAAUAAUCUCAUAUUGACUUCAUGUUUAUAACUUACGAUAUGAUUCUACUAUGUAGCAAGUGUGUAUGUAGAGUCUUGUUUCGUACUUGUUUGUUGUGAAACAUCAUAAUGUAUCUAGUUACACGUUUGUCAUGAAUUCAAAUAGCGGGUGUGCAUGCUGUCUAAUUUAUUUCAUUUCUACUUUGCUUUUCGUUUUUAGAUAAUAAAUUGGCAGCAAAAAACAUUUUGACCUUUUUGGCAUAGUUCCGGUGAUUUGUCCUCCUCCGUUCCGGUGAUGUUGGUAUCGUCUUCUGAAGCUUGCUGCUUUGGUUUAGGUCGCGGCUAAUCUAUUUUGCUUUGACUUCUGAUCUGAUUUAGGGUGCUGGCUAAUCCAUCAUGCUCUGAUUGCUAUAUGUUUUAGGGUCGUGGCUUACACUUUUUUAUCCUAAUUGCUGAUUUGAUUCAAGGUUGUCACAAUUAAUGGAGAUUAUUUUUGGUGAGAGCGUUGUGUUUGUUUAACGGAGAUUAUUUAAAUGUGGAGCAGUUCGUUUGCUUUCAUCUUUGUUCGUUACGGUGGAUUGGUCUUGGUCGGUUGUUUGACAUGAUUGGAAUGAGAGAUUGAAGGUUGAGUGGUUUGGAUUGGUCUGUUCCAUUGGUGAUUCAAUAAUGUUCUGCGUACAGUGCUUUAUCUUUUUGCGGUGAAAAACAGUGAUUUGGGAGACAGUCCAGACAGUCAAAUUUCUGCAGUUUUUCUGCAUUUGAUCCCGUUCUUUCAUGACUUAGUCAGAUUCAAUAAGAGUUAGUGGAAAAAGGUUUGCUAUGCCUAUCCGGAUAUAUUUGCUUUCGCCUAGCAGCCUAUGCAUGUCAGACCAUAUCAAAGGGAUUUUGCUAUGUUGUGUGCUGUGUUAUAAAUGUAGAGCUGGGAUAUGUACUUCUUGAACUGUGUGGACAUGCUCAUGGUGGAGAUUCUUCAGUGGCUAUAUUUAGGUCACACCUUUUGAUUGGUUUCAUUUCAAGAUCCCUAAGAAUAUCGGAGGUGCUUGUUUUGUUUGCGUUCUAGAUGUAACUUUCUUGGGAAGUACCCUCAAAGAACAUGGAAGUUUGCUUUUGAAGUAAUCUGUUUGAAGUUUCAAGUACAUUGAAGAAAGCUGCUGAACUAGUUUACUGCCUGCCAUGUUUUGAUUGGGUGACACAUCAAGGUCUAUUCAGAUGCUGAUUACUGUGUUGGAAUCUACCAAUCCUUCUGAUCUCUAGUUUGUGACUUUGAUUUUCUACAUGGAUAUUCAGUUGGGCUUCUGCCGGUUUACAUGCUCUGUCCAGUGUUGGAUUAGUCUUAGGCCUCCUUUGAUUUGAAGGAUUUUUCAUAGAAAAAACGUAGGAAUUUUCAUUCCAUAAGAUUUGCCACUGUAGCGAUGUUUGAUUUGCAAGAACCAGUAUGAAGGAAUACUGUUGCAAUCCAGAGAAACACUGUUGGUUUCCUGUGAUUUCGCAUGGAGUGAAACAUUGGGUCAUACCUCUUUUUUACACAAAGACCAAGGCAAGAGGGACAAAGUUGCAUACCAGCGCAUGGUUUCUCUACUAAAUAAUGCAUUCCUUUGAUUUCAGUUCCCGCAUUUCAAACGUUCCAUUUGUUUCAUAUUCCUAUAUUUUUCACUUUUUUUCAAUCCUCUGUUUUACAACUGCAACCCUAUAGAUUUUCGGUAUUCUUUCUAUUCCAGCGUUUUUGCAAUCAUGUGAAUCAAAGAGGCCCUUAGCUUAUUAUUAGCAUUCUUACUGUAAUUUGUAGUCAUGUUUUGUUCAUGCAAUUUAUGUUUUAUGCUGUACACAAUUGUCAAUUAUGCAUCCUGUAUGAUGUUAUUGGUGUAAUUAUUGAAUGAUUAUGGAUGAGCCCUUCAUCGUUGUUUGGUUGGGUGCAUAAAAGCUGUAAUAAAAUAGCAAGUGAAUUUCAUAGCUCGAUGUGUUUCUUUGCUGACAUUAAUACGUCUGUGUUCAUUCUCCUAAUCUCAAGAUAAUAAUUAUCACUUUUUGAGCUGUCAUUUUGAACUUGCUCAGUGGUUUUCAUUUCUGUGUCCGAUCACUUAAAUUGAUAAGUAUGGUGCUUGUAUUCUUUUUAGGUGCUGUCUUUAGUCAUGCACAAGAUUCCUUUUAAUGAUGACACAUUAGUUGCUUGUAUUUAAUCUUGAUUACGCAUCAUCCACGAGUGCCACAUUCUAUAGCUAUUUUAUGUAGUUUGCUAUUAUGCUUCAAGUAUAUUCGAAGGUGUUGGUCUUCUAUGUUUGCAUUAUUUACAGUCUGCUUUUACUCUUGGAGUUCCCUGUGAAUUAUUUGAUUUGUAACGCUUUAGUAUUCAAAGGCAAAUAUUGUGUGAUAAGUGUGAAUUAUGAUUUCAUAUUUGUUCUAAGCUGAUGUUGUUUACAAUUUAUUUCUAACCUGUCAGUGAAGUAAGAUUUUAGUUCAUGUGCUUAGGUCUACCAAUGUUUUUAGAGCUUAGAUAAUAACUAUCAAGAACAGUCUUAAGUUACGUUCUACCUUAACUUUCCCCCCUUAAUUGGUUGAUGUUAUAAGCAUGACACAUACUGUUUUUGCUUUGGUUCUACUUCCCCACUUAUUUGGUUGAGAUGAUAAGCAUGGUAUGCACUAUAAUUAUAACAUUUUAAUCUGUUUUGAGCUUACUUGAAAAUUUUAUUUGUCCCUGAUAUGUUGUGCUGUCAUUUUUAUCUCUUCGAUAGAAGGUCACAAUUAGAAAG
This 6620-nucleotide long non-coding RNA is filed under the name Triticum aestivum (bread wheat). RNAcentral's name for it is "long non-coding RNA (TAES_LNC014608)". Lineage: Eukaryota; Viridiplantae; Streptophyta; Magnoliopsida; Poales; Poaceae. The record is from RNAcentral.